GUAAGUGUGCUAAUACCACAUUUAUUUGACGAAGGCUCCAAAGGAAGCCACGGCUAACUCUGUGCCAGCAGCCGCGGUAAUACAGAGGUGGCAAGCGUUGUUCGGAAUUAUUGGGCGUAAAGAGCACGUAGGUGGGUUUGUAAGUCAGAUGUGAAAGCCUUCUGUUCAACGGAAGAAUUGCAUCUGAAACUGCGAGUCUUGAGUGUAGGAGGGGAGAAUGGAACUUCUGGUGGAGCGGUGAAAUGCGUAGAUAUCAGAAGGAACGCCGGCGGCGAAAGCGAUUCUCUGGCCUAUUACUGACGCUCAGUGUGCGAAAGCUAGGGGAGCAAACGGGAUUAGAUACCCCGGUAGUCCUAGCCGUAAACGAUGGGCACUAAGUAGAGGGAAUUACCGAUGUUCUCUCUGCCGUAGCUAACGCAUUAAGUGCCCCGCCUGGGGAGUACGGCCGCAAGGCUAAAACUCAAAAGAAUUGACGGGGGCUCGCACAAGCGGUGGAGCAUGUGGCUUAAUUCGAUGCAACGCGAAGAACCUUACCGGGGCUUGACAUGGUAGAAGUAGGAACCCGAAAGGGUAACGAACGGUAUCCAGUCCGUAACUAUCACAGGUGUUGCAUGGCUGUCGUCAGCUCGUGUCGUGAGACGUUGGGUUAAGUCCCCUAACGAGCGAAACCCUUGUUUUUAGUUACCAGCGGGUUGUGCCGGGUACUCUAGAAAGACUGCCGUCGUCAAGACGGAGGAAGGUGGGGAUGACGUCAAGUCAUCAUGGCCCUUAUGCCCCGGGCUGCACACGUGCUACAAUGGUCGGUACAAACGGAAGCGAAGCCGAGAGGUGAAGCGAAUCCUAAAAAGCCGAUCUCAGUUCGGAUUGGAGGCUGAAAUUCGCCUCA
RNAcentral lists this ribosomal RNA (886 nucleotides) under uncultured Planctomycetota bacterium. RNAcentral describes it as "bacterial SSU rRNA". It matches the Rfam family "Bacterial small subunit ribosomal RNA", at positions 443 to 1319 of the family's 1533-position model. Lineage: Bacteria; Pseudomonadati; Planctomycetota. The record is from RNAcentral.